UUAACAUGCCGUCGAGCGGUCCGGCACUAACGUAGUUGAGUGGCGGAUAGCGGCGGCCGGGUGAGUAACGCGUGGGCAACCUACCCUUAAGACCGGGAUAGCACCUCGAAAGGGGUGGUAAUACUGGAUAAGCUCCUUAUAGGGCAUCCUAUAGGGAGGAAAGGGAAGCGCAAGCUACCGCUUAAGGAUGGGCCCGCGUCCCAUCAGCUAGUUGGUAGGGUAACGGCCUACCAAGGCGACGACGGGUAGCCGGCCUGAGAGGGUGGUCGGCCACACUGGGACUGAGACACGGCCCAGACUCCUACGGGAGGCAGCAGUGGGGAAUCUUGGGCAAUGGGCGGAAGCCUGACCCAGCGACGCCGCGUGGGGGAGGAAGGCCUUCGGGUUGUAAACCCCGUUAGUGUGGGAAGAAGGGAUGACGGUACCACACGAAAGCCCCCGGCUAACUACGUGCCAGCAGCCGCGGUAAGACGUAGGGGGCGAGCGUUGUCCGGAAUUACUGGGCGUAAAGGGCCGCGGUAGGCGGUCCANUCAANGUCAGGUGUAAAANACCCCGGGCUCANCCCNGUGGUUAGCAUCUGANACUGAAUUGGCNANNAGGGCAGNANAGGGGANUGGAAUUUCCCGUUUANCCG
This 635-nucleotide ribosomal RNA is filed under the name Thermoanaerobacter sp. MEF-5. RNAcentral's name for it is "partial 16S ribosomal RNA". It matches the Rfam family "Bacterial small subunit ribosomal RNA", at positions 50 to 681 of the family's 1533-position model. Lineage: Bacteria; Bacillati; Bacillota; Clostridia; Thermoanaerobacterales; Thermoanaerobacteraceae. The record is from RNAcentral.